RNAcentral lists this ribosomal RNA (497 nucleotides) under uncultured bacterium. RNAcentral's name for it is "partial 16S ribosomal RNA". It matches the Rfam family "Bacterial small subunit ribosomal RNA", at positions 28 to 507 of the family's 1533-position model. The record is from RNAcentral.
GAUGAACGCUGACGGCGUGCCUAAUACAUGCAAGUCGAGCGAACGGACGAGAAGCUUGCUUCUCUGAUGUUAGCGGCGGACGGGUGAGUAACACGUGGAUAACCUACCUAUAAGACUGGGAUAACUUCGGGAAACCGGAGCUAAUACCGGAUAAUAUUUUGAACCGCAUGGUUCAAAAGUGAAAGACGGUCUUGCUGUCACUUAUAGAUGGAUCCGCGCUGCAUUAGCUAGUUGGUAAGGUAACGGCUUACCAAGGCAACGAUGCAUAGCCGACCUGAGAGGGUGAUCGGCCACACUGGAACUGAGACACGGUCCAGACUCCUACGGGAGGCAGCAGUAGGGAAUCUUCCGCAAUGGGCGAAAGCCCGACGGAGCAACGCCGCGUGAGUGAUGAAGGUCUUCGGAUCGUAAAACUCUGUUAUUAGGGAAGAACAUAUGUGUAAGUAACUGUGCACAUCUUGACGGUACCUAAUCAGAAAGCCACGGCUAACUACGUG